This 464-nucleotide ribosomal RNA is filed under the name uncultured bacterium. Its description in RNAcentral is "partial 16S ribosomal RNA". It matches the Rfam family "Bacterial small subunit ribosomal RNA", at positions 28 to 507 of the family's 1533-position model. The record is from RNAcentral.
GACGAACGCUGGCGGCGUGCUUAACACAUGCAAGUCGAACGGUAAGGCCCUUUCGGGGGUACACGAGUGGCGAACGGGUGAGUAACACGUGGGUGAUCUGCCCUGCACUUUGGGAUAAGCCUGGGAAGCUGGGUCUAAUACCGGAUAGGACUACGCGAUGCAUGUCGUGUGGUGGAAAGCUUUUGCGGUGUGGGAUGGGCCCGCGGCCUAUCAGCUUGUUGGUGGGGUGAUGGCCUACCAAGGCGACGACGGGUAGCCGGCCUGAGAGGGUGUCCGGCCACACUGGGACUGAGAUACGGCCCAGACUCCUACGGGAGGCAGCAGUGGGGAAUAUUGCACAAUGGGCGCAAGCCUGAUGCAGCGACGCCGCGUGGGGGAUGACGGCCUUCGGGUUGUAAACCCCUUUCAGCACAGACGAAGCGUAAGUGACGGUAUGUGCAGAAGAAGCACCGGCCAACUACGUG